AUUGAACGCUGGCGGCAGGCCUAACACAUGCAAGUCGAACGAGUGGCGGACGGGUGAGUAAUGUCUGGGAAACUGCCCGAUGGAGGGGGAUAACUACUGGAAACGGUAGCUAAUACCGCAUACCAUCGGAUGUGCCCAUAUGGGAUUAGCUAGUAGGUGGGGUAACGGCUCACCUAGGCGACGAUCCCUAGCUGGUCUGAGAGGGUGACCAGCAACUCUGAAACUGAGAGACGGUCCAGACACCUACGGGAGUCAGCAGUGGGGAAUAUUGAACAAUGGGAGCAAGGCUGAUGCAGCCAUGCCGCGUGUAUGAAGAAGGCCUGCGGGUGGUAAAGUACUUUCAGCGAUGAGGCGUUGCUCGCAGAAGAAGCACCGGCUAACUCCGUGCCAGCAGCCGCGGUAAUUC
Molecule: ribosomal RNA, 406 nt
Filed under: uncultured bacterium
Lineage: Bacteria
Description: partial 16S ribosomal RNA
Rfam family: Bacterial small subunit ribosomal RNA
Source: RNAcentral